This 494-nucleotide long non-coding RNA is filed under the name Cavia porcellus (domestic guinea pig). RNAcentral describes it as "lncRNA (ENSCPOG00000031985.1)". The record is from RNAcentral. Lineage: Eukaryota; Metazoa; Chordata; Mammalia; Rodentia; Caviidae.
CAAAUGGACACUUGCAAGCCGGAGCUCGGGGGUCAUCGUUGCAGCCACAGAAGCCAGUGCUACAGGCAGUGAGUGAAAAGGAAGCUAUGUGCAGGAAGCCAUUUCACUUGCUGGGGAGCUGCUAUCUACCUGGGAUCUUAUCUAGGAGCUUCAAAGGCAUUGGCAGCCAUUGCCCAACUAUCAAGCACGCUGGCCUCUGGCUCCCUGUCCCCAAGGCAGGAAUGAUGCUGAGUAGCGAUCUCCCCACAGAUACACAUCAGGAGGCAGAGAAAAAUGGCCCUGCACACCUGAGUGUCAGCUUCUGGCUUCUUUCGUCAAAGUCACUUUGUGGUCCAGGAUGGCGGCUAGAACUCUUGGAAAGAGGAGGGAAAACAGAAGAGGCAUUUACCAAAUGAAGCAGACUCAUUUAAAGCAGCCCUUCAAGAAAUCCCAAAUAAUGCUUCCAUCUGCUUCUCUUUGGCCAUUAGAUAUUAGUCACGUGUUCAUUCUUGGUU